GGUGCAGCAGUCAAAGGUAAUUUUGAACUCUGAAAAUGCAAUGAAUGUAUAGAAGAAAUACACUGAUUUUGAAAUGAUCCAGCUAAGUCAGGUAUCCAGCUACAUUUCUACAAAGGGAAUCACAGAACCGAAAAAGAAUAUAAUCAACCCAUCUUGGUAUUUGCUAGCAGCUCUAAACAAGUUUAUCAAUGUAGUAAUGACUACAAACAGGUUAUGACAAUUAUCUUAGAAACCCCAUUACAUGUGGUCUUUCCUUGUCCCCUAUUAAUGUUGGAUCAUAAUUUGAUUGUGGGAUAAAUAGCAACAGUUCAGAAAUGACUUAGAGCUGACCCUGACCACACUCGCACCAUCAUACUACACACUAGGUGUGCAAAGAGCAAGAUGAGUGUUGCCAUAUGUAAGGGCACAUGGAAUUAAUUUGAUCAUCUAGUAAGAGUGAGGCUCUUGUCUAUUUCCCAUUAUAAGCAUAGACUAGCAAGAGGCUGGCUACUCGUGGGUACACAUCUUAGACACUCCUAAAGUUCUUGCUUCCUAAAGUUGACUGCUCUUCAUGGGGAAUCAGACUUUGCAAACUUGGCCUUGAUAAUACCAUGUGUCAAAUAACCAGAGAGUUGGUCUAAACCAGAAAUUAAUAUUUAUCAGCACCACACUGAGUUUGCCAUUAAACUGUAGACAGGUCCAACAGCAACACCCUCGGCAUAUCUGCUUCAGUCAUGUUCAGGCUUCACCUCACACAGCCUCACCCAUGGGCACCACAGCACAGGGUCCAGGAAGGAGGAUACACGUGCUCCCAGUGCAGGGAGUUUGUGCACAUGAGGCGCAGGCCCUGCUGUCUCCUCCCAGACUCCCAGAACCAGCCAAAGCCGGAGCACUUCCUCCCUCCAAAUACACUGGGGUCACUCCAGAGGGAACACGGAGGAAAACCCUAAUGACAAGAGAGGGUGAUGCACAUCAAGAACACAGUACACAGAUGAGAAGACAGAGACCCUGUCCCCUGCUAUCACUGCUCCGUCGGCAGUGCGCAGGAGAGAGCCUGGCACACACAGCAGCUCAGUAAGGACUGGAGCAUGUGAACGACCGCAUUAUAACCAUCAUAGUUGCCUACAGGCAUUUUCUGAACAAUCUCCUAUUAAGAGAAGCCUUGGGCUGUGGAGUGAGACCAGUGGAAGCACGGUGUGCCUUUGAAACUAGCAAGGUGAUGCAAAACUUUCCCCAGUCUGGCACAAAACAUGACAACUUCAGGGGUGAGGAGGGUAUAGCUCAGUGGUAGAGUGAAUGCUUACCAUGCACGAGGUCCUGGGUUCACUCCCCAGAAUCUCCAUCAAUAAAUACAUAAAUAAACACAAUUACCACCUUGCUCACCAGGGGGAAAAAUUACUACUUCAUGAAAUUUAAUAGGCCCAUUUCUGUGAUUUAAGGCUUGUGCACCAGAAAUUAGACAGAAAUUGACUUAUUGUCUCCGAGUAUACUUUAAUUUAAAAAAAAAUGUAUUCAUCAGCCCUCUAAAGUGACACAUUUUCCAGGCCCCCACUUAGGUAGCUUACAUUUGUGUACCUCUAGCCCUCACACUCAGAGGUCUGAAGUUCCAAUAUAUCUAAAUUUUAAGUGACACACUUGGGAGGAUAUGUUCCAUUUGAGGAGCUAUAAGGGGUAACAUGUAGGUACCCACUGGGGAUUUUGGUAUGUUUUUAGCACCUUCUGUUUAAAAGGCUGCAAACUGAACUUUUAUGCAGUUUCAAAAAGAAGACUGAAGCUACUAUGAGUAGUUUUUCCCCAUGAAGCAGGCAAACCUCACCUCAGAAAGCCCAGUUCUCUUGUAAUAUGUGUGCAAGAGUGUGAGGGGUGUGCGUUCUAUUUCAGAACGCUCUUCCUUGAAUUAAGAGCAAGCACUGUCUGAAGUAAAUGAGGAACAUGGGUGUGCACGUUGCUUCUCAGACACUCACAGGAUUCGGGGUGGGUGGUCACCAGACCCUGUCAGCUGGGACUAGUGCUGACAUGGACAUAGAGAGCAAGGACCAGCUGGUGGGGGGGCUUUCUCAUCACUCUCACUGCCGGCCAGACUCUGCUGUGAUGCUUCUGAUUUUAGAUGGAGAGAGUCCAAGCCCCUCCUUCUGGGUGUGGGAGUCUGCAGUCACAGCCAGCUCUGCCCAGGUCACACACUGGCUGUUGUGAAGGAAGUGAGGCCUGAACGGAAUUUUUCAACUUAAUGUUUUCUGUUAUUUCUCCAAUAUGUAUUUAUCAUAAUAAUAUAUAUCUUUUUUAUUUAAUCUACGGAAGGAUUAUCUUCAGAAUAUAGAAGGAGGUAUUUUUACAGCCAGUUGCCGUGACAAAUGGCUUAGCGUCCUUGAUGAAGGGAAUGCGGAGGGAAAAAUAACUGCAACCCAGAGGUAAUGACGGUCACACCCCGAAAAUACAACCAACAUCCUCUUAGGAAAAUACCAGCUUAUACUUUACAGCUUUGUCUACUAAAGUAAUGACCAGUGUCAAAGGGCUGCAUCUGCUACCCACAGAAGCCACUUGAGAAACAGAUGCAGGCACUCCUGCUGUUACUGAAUUCUUGUUUUUAUCCUAAUCUUAUUAAUAUGGACUCCAUGACCAGUUAACACCUACUGAAGACAUGGAACUGCCGCAGAUGAAAUCCACUGGUCAAAACAGAGAUGCUAGAGAACCAAUCUCUCGCUGUUACGAUCUUAAUUUUUCAAACACUUAAUCAACCACAGGAAGUUAGUAUCUCAUCCAGAAACUGAAAUCAAUGAAACAUUUUUGUGUGCAUUCAUGCUUAGAACUCUGCGAGAGAGGACUGGGGGCAUGGUUUACCAUCACGUACUCUGUUCUCUGUUUCUAUAUUUCCACUUCCUAAGCAAAAUGACAUGCUUUGUUUACAAGUGCAUUUUUCUGCCUGUAGGCUUUUGGACCAGCUGCCAAGAGCCAAUGGUGACCUCCUGAAGCACCUUUUUGGAGUGCUCCACGACACUAAGCAACACUCCACAUUCAAUCAGAUGAUGGCGGAUAACUUAGCAUGCUGUAUAGCCCCAAGCCUUCUUGGUCCACCUAAUGCCACCGGCUCACAAUUACAAGAGGACUUCACAAAGAAGAUAUCGCUGGUACAGUUUCUCCUCGAAAACUGCCUCCAGCUAUGGGGAGAAGACAUCCCUUCCCUCCGGGGACAGCACACAGUCAUUCCUGACAAAGUGACAACAGGAGAACCCCGCGAAUCAAUGAGAAUGACAGUGGCAGUCAUUCUCAAAAAUCCACAAGGACAGUACGAGGCCAAGUGCCCAUCUGCCACGGGUCUGUGCACAUGCCUGUCCACGAUUUUGGAAGUCCCUGAAGAGCAGAAAUGGCCCUAAUCACAUUUCACCCUUCCUCUCUUCUAUCUUUAUUCCGCACAUAUUGUUUCACUUUUCUUCCUCCUCUACUCUGCAAGUUUCCCAAGAUUUAUUAAAAAUGCAUUAGAGAACCACUUUAUUUGCUUAUGGCCCAUGUUAACCCCUUGGUGGAGGCGCAUCGGGGCAGUCUGCGGUCUCAACUAAGGUCACUUCUGCACCUGCAGCCAGCGGGCGGCGCAGCUGGGGCUGACUCACAUGUCUGUUGCUUGGCGCUGGCUCUAGGUGGAUCCCCAUCUCUUCAGCAAGUGAGCCCGGCUUUCUUCAUAAGGUGGAGGAAGACUUCCCAAC
This is a long non-coding RNA of Camelus dromedarius (Arabian camel), 3677 nucleotides long. RefSeq lists it as uncharacterized. Lineage: Eukaryota; Metazoa; Chordata; Mammalia; Artiodactyla; Camelidae. The record is from RefSeq and is a predicted model, not a curated record. The transcript has 3 exons.